Molecule: long non-coding RNA, 246 nt
Filed under: Nicotiana benthamiana
Lineage: Eukaryota; Viridiplantae; Streptophyta; Magnoliopsida; Solanales; Solanaceae
Description: long non-coding RNA (NBEN_LNC035735)
Source: RNAcentral
UCCAACCUCUCUGAAACCCUAAUCACCUCCCACCUUAUCUCACCUUGUUUCCACCGGAAUCCAUGGCAUAUCCGGCCAUAGAUGGUCUGUAAUCACCUUCCUUCACCACUAAACCUGAGCUAUUCGAAGUUUGGAGGCUUGACUUGAUGUUCCACUCUCAGAUCCGUCUCAGACAUGUAGAUCUAUUAUUCUCCGGCUACGCUCGACAAUUCAAGCCCUAGAAGCUUGAUUCCUGACCGUUUCGAC